Molecule: ribosomal RNA, 476 nt
Filed under: uncultured organism
Description: partial 16S ribosomal RNA
Rfam family: Bacterial small subunit ribosomal RNA
Source: RNAcentral
GUACACUCCUGCGGGAGGCAGCAGUGGGGAAUUUUGGACAAUGGGCGAAAGCCUGAUCCAGCAAUGCCGCGUGAGUGAAGAAGGCCUUCGGGUUGUAAAGCUCUUUUGUCAGGGAAGAAACGGUGAAAGCUAAUAUCUUUUGCUAAUGACGGUACCUGAAGAAUAAGCACCGGCUAACUACGUGCCAGCAGCCGCGGUAAUACGUAGGGUGCAAGCGUUAAUCGGAAUUACUGGGCGUAAAGCGUGCGCAGGCGGUUUUGUAAGUCUGAUGUGAAAUCCCCGGGCUCAACCUGGGAAUUGCAUUGGAGACUGCAAGGCUAGAAUCUGGCAGAGGGGGGUAGAAUUCCACGUGUAGCAGUGAAAUGCGUAGAUAUGUGGAGGAACACCGAUGGCGAAGGCAGCCCCCUGGGUCAAGAUUGACGCUCAUGCACGAAAGCGUGGGGAGCAAACAGGAUUAGAUACCCGGUAGUCCCAUG